GCGGUACUUCGACCGUGCAAAGGUAGCAUAAUCAUUUGCCUUAUAAUUGAAGGCUAGUAUGAAUGGUUUGACGAGAAUUAAGCUGUCUCUUUACAAUUAAAUAUAAUUUUAUUUACAGGUGAAGAAGCCUGUGUUUUAUUGAAAGACAAGAAGACCCUAUCGAGCUUUAAAAAAUUUAGUAGACUUAUCUUAUAUUAAUAAAAAUAUAAGGCUAUUAAAAAUUUUGGUUGGGGCGACUGAGGAACAAAUAAAGCUUCCUUUAUAGUUAAAAACUUACAAGUAUUGAUCCAAUAAAUUUGAUUAAAGGAAUUAGUUACCGUAGGGAUAACAGCAUAAUCUUCUUUGAGAGCUCCCAUCGAAAAGGAGGUUUGUGACCUCGAUGUUGGACCAGAAUACCCAGAAGAUGCAGCUGUCUUCAAAGGUUGGUCUGUUCGACCAUUAAAAUUCU
This 448-nucleotide ribosomal RNA is filed under the name Indothais gradata. RNAcentral describes it as "partial 16S ribosomal RNA". It matches the Rfam family "Bacterial large subunit ribosomal RNA", at positions 1933 to 2597 of the family's 2925-position model. The record is from RNAcentral. Lineage: Eukaryota; Metazoa; Mollusca; Gastropoda; Neogastropoda; Muricidae.